UGAAAAGUCCCCAGGAUUCCAAAGGUC
RNAcentral lists this non-coding RNA (27 nucleotides) under Rattus norvegicus (Norway rat). Lineage: Eukaryota; Metazoa; Chordata; Mammalia; Rodentia; Muridae. The record is from RNAcentral.